This is a long non-coding RNA of Oncorhynchus keta (chum salmon), 1431 nucleotides long. RefSeq lists it as uncharacterized. Lineage: Eukaryota; Metazoa; Chordata; Actinopteri; Salmoniformes; Salmonidae. The transcript is spliced from 4 exons. The record is from RefSeq and is a predicted model, not a curated record.
GCUAAGUGGGGAGCUAACAUGAUGCAGCACAGUGCAGGCUAAGUGGGGAGAUAACUUGAUGCAGCCCAGUGCUGGCUAAGUGGGUAGCUAACAUGAUGCAGCCCAGUGCUGGCUAAGUGGGGAGCUAACAUGAUGCAGCACAGUGCAGGCUAAGCGGGGAGCAAACAUGAUACAGCACAGUGCUGGCUAAGUGGGGAGCUAACAUGAUGCAGCACAGUGCAGGCUAAGUGGGGUGCUAACAUGAUGCAGCACAGUGCAGGCUAAGUGGGGAGAUAACUUGAUGCAGCCCAGUGCAGGCUAAGUGGGGAGCUAACAUGAUGCAGCCCAGUGCAGGUUAUGGGGAGGUAACAUGAUGCAGCCCAGUGCAGGCUAAGUGGGGAGCUAACAUGACGCAACCCAGUGCUGGCUAAGUGGGGAGCUAACAUGAUGCAGCCCAGUGCUGGCUAAGUGGGGAGCUAACAUGAUGCAGCCCAGUGCAGGUUAUGGGGAGCUAACAUGAUGCAGCCCAGUGCAGGUUAUGGGGAGGUAACAUGAUGCAGCCCAGUGCAGGUUAUGGGGAGCUAACAUGAUGCAGCCCAGUGCAGGUUAUGGGGAGCUAACAUGAUGCAGCCCAGUGCAGGCUAAGUGGGAGCUAACAUGAUGCAGCCCAGUGCUGGCUAAGUGGGGAGCUAACAUGAUGCAGCACAGUGCAGGCUAAGUGGGGAGAUAACUUGAUGCAGCCCAGUGCAGGCUAAGUGGGGAGCUAACAUGAUGCAGCCCAGUGCAGGUUAUGGGGAGGUAACAUGAUGCAGCCCAGUGCAGGCUAAGUGGGGAGCUAACAUGAUGCAGCCCAGUGCUGGCUAAGUGGGGAGCUAACAUGAUGCAGCACAGUGCAGGCUAAGUGGGGAGAUAACUUGAUGCAGCCCAGUGCAGGCUAAGUGGGGAGCUAACAUGAUGCAGCCCAGUGCAGGUUAUGGGGAGGUAACAUGAUGCAGCCCAGUGCAGGCUAAGUGGGGAGCUAACAUGACGCAACCCAGUGCUGGCUAAGUGGGGAGCUAACAUGAUGCAGCCCAGUGCAGGUUAUGGGGAGGUAACAUGAUGCAGCCCAGUGCUGGCUAAGUGGGGAGCUAACAUGAUGCAGCCCAGUGCUGGCUAAGUGGGGAGCUAACAUGAUGCAGCCCAGUGCUGGCUAAGUGGGGAGCUAACAUGAUGCAGCCCAGUGCUGGCUAAGUGGGGAGCUAACAUGAUGCAGCCCAGUGCUGGCUAAGUGGGGAGCUAACAUGAUGCAGCCAAGUGCUGGCUAAGUGGGGAGCUAACAUGAUGCAGCACAGUGCAGGCUAAGUGGGGAGAUAACUUGAUGCAGCCCAGUGCUGGCUAAGUGGGUAGCUAACAUGAUGCAGCCCAGUGCUGGCUAAGUGGGGAGCUAACAUGAUGCAGCACAAUGCAGGUUAA